This is a non-coding RNA of Escherichia coli ISC11, 92 nucleotides long. Lineage: Bacteria; Pseudomonadati; Pseudomonadota; Gammaproteobacteria; Enterobacterales; Enterobacteriaceae. The record is from Rfam.
UGGCUGCGAAAAGAGUUUUAAUUUUUAAAGAGACCAUCGCACAUUAACGGUCUCAGGCGACAGGCACAACGGAGAGAGAAACUAUGUUUGAA